AAAUUGAAGAGUUUGAUCAUGGCUCAGAUUGAACGCUGGCGGCAGGCCUAACACAUGCAAGUCGAACGGUAACAGGAAUCAGCUUGCUGAUUUGCUGACGAGUGGCGGACGGGUGAGUAAUGUCUGGGAAACUGCCUGAUGGAGGGGGAUAACUACUGGAAACGGUAGCUAAUACCGCAUAAUGUCGCAAGACCAAAGAGGGGGACCUUCGGGCCUCUUGCCAUCGGAUGUGCCCAGAUGGGAUUAGCUAGUAGGUGGGGUAACGGCUCACCUAGGCGACGAUCCCUAGCUGGUCUGAGAGGAUGACCAGCCACACUGGAACUGAGACACGGUCCAGACUCCUACGGGAGGCAGCAGUGGGGAAUAUUGCACAAUGGGCGCAAGCCUGAUGCAGCCAUGCCGCGUGUAUGAAGAAGGCCUUCGGGUUGUAAAGUACUUUCAGCGGGGAGGAAGGGAGUAAAGUUAAUACCUUUGCUCAUUGACGUUACCCGCAGAAGAAGCACCGGCUAACUCCGUGCCAGCAGCCGCGGUAAUACGGAGGGUGCAAGCGUUAAUCGGAAUUACUGGGCGUAAAGCGCACGCAGGCGGUUUGUUAAGUCAGAUGUGAAAUCCCCGGGCUCAACCUGGGAACUGCAUCUGAUACUGGCAAGCUUGAGUCUCGUAGAGGGGGGUAGAAUUCCAGGUGUAGCGGUGAAAUGCGUAGAGAUCUGGAGGAAUACCGGUGGCGAAGGCGGCCCCCUGGACGAAGACUGACGCUCAGGUGCGAAAGCGUGGGGAGCAAACAGGAUUAGAUACCCUGGUAGUCCACGCCGUAAACGAUGUCGACUUGGAGGUUGUGCCCUUGAGGCGUGGCUUCCGGAGCUAACGCGUUAAGUCGACCGCCUGGGGAGUACGGCCGCAAGGUUAAAACUCAAAUGAAUUGACGGGGGCCCGCACAAGCGGUGGAGCAUGUGGUUUAAUUCGAUGCAACGCGAAGAACCUUACCUGGUCUUGACAUCCACGGAAGUUUUCAGAGAUGAGAAUGUGCCUUCGGGAACCGUGAGACAGGUGCUGCAUGGCUGUCGUCAGCUCGUGUUGUGAAAUGUUGGGUUAAGUCCCGCAACGAGCGCAACCCUUAUCCUUUGUUGCCAGCGGUCCGGCCGGGAACUCAAAGGAGACUGCCAGUGAUAAACUGGAGGAAGGUGGGGAUGACGUCAAGUCAUCAUGGCCCUUACGACCAGGGCUACACACGUGCUACAAUGGCGCAUACAAAGAGAAGCGACCUCGCGAGAGCAAGCGGACCUCAUAAAGUGCGUCGUAGUCCGGAUUGGAGUCUGCAACUCGACUCCAUGAAGUCGGAAUCGCUAGUAAUCGUGGAUCAGAAUGCCACGGUGAAUACGUUCCCGGGCCUUGUACACACCGCCCGUCACACCAUGGGAGUGGGUUGCAAAAGAAGUAGGUAGCUUAACCUUCGGGAGGGCGCUUACCACUUUGUGAUUCAUGACUGGGGUGAAGUCGUAACAAGGUAACCGUAGGGGAACCUGCGGUUGGAUCACCUCCUUACCUUAAAGAAGC
RNAcentral lists this ribosomal RNA (1554 nucleotides) under Escherichia coli. RNAcentral's name for it is "bacterial SSU rRNA". It matches the Rfam family "Bacterial small subunit ribosomal RNA". Lineage: Bacteria; Pseudomonadati; Pseudomonadota; Gammaproteobacteria; Enterobacterales; Enterobacteriaceae. The record is from RNAcentral.